This 70-nucleotide transfer RNA is filed under the name Allomuricauda sp. RNAcentral describes it as "tRNA-Met". It matches the Rfam family "tRNA". From Rfam's summary of the family: Transfer RNA (tRNA) molecules are approximately 80 nucleotides in length. Their secondary structure includes four short double-helical elements and three loops (D, anti-codon, and T loops). Further hydrogen bonds mediate the characteristic L-shaped molecular structure. tRNAs have two regions of fundamental functional importance: the anti-codon, which is responsible for specific mRNA codon recognition, and the 3' end, to which the tRNAs corresponding amino acid is attached (by aminoacyl-tRNA synthetases). tRNAs cope with the degeneracy of the genetic code in two manners: having more than one tRNA (with a specific anti-codon) for a particular amino acid; and 'wobble' base-pairing, i.e. permitting non-standard base-pairing at the 3rd anti-codon position. Lineage: Bacteria; Pseudomonadati; Bacteroidota; Flavobacteriia; Flavobacteriales; Flavobacteriaceae. The record is from RNAcentral.
UAGCUCAGCUGGUUAGAGCACUUGACUCAUAAUCAAGGGGUCCCUGGUUCGAGCCCAGGUGGGACCACCA